GGUGAUUCAGUGGCAGAGUGCAUGCUUUGCAUGCAUGAGGCCCUGAGUUCGAUUCCUCAGCACCA
Molecule: transfer RNA, 65 nt
Filed under: Dipodomys ordii (Ord's kangaroo rat)
Lineage: Eukaryota; Metazoa; Chordata; Mammalia; Rodentia; Heteromyidae
Rfam family: tRNA
About the family: Transfer RNA (tRNA) molecules are approximately 80 nucleotides in length. Their secondary structure includes four short double-helical elements and three loops (D, anti-codon, and T loops).
Source: Rfam by way of RNAcentral